This is a non-coding RNA of Cricetulus griseus (Chinese hamster), 2834 nucleotides long. Lineage: Eukaryota; Metazoa; Chordata; Mammalia; Rodentia; Cricetidae. The record is from RefSeq and is a predicted model, not a curated record.
CCAGCUUGAUGCCGCUCCUUUAAUUCAGGGCAAUCGGAGGGAGGGACCAGAGUUGUGACUCCCAGUCAAGAUGGAGGUUCUGUGAUGCGUGUGAGAGCGCUCCCUGCGGUCCCUCCCAAUGCAGGCCUUGGAAAAGAUUGUUUAUGUGAGUGUGAGAGGCCCUCUUAAGUUGGACAGCAGUAAAGAGAUGAAAAAUGACACCAUCCCCAGCCCUCAGGAAUACAGAUGAAGAUAAAUUGACAACAGAGGAGUCAUGUGUGGCUGUUCCUAAUGAAACCUUACCACACACUUGAAGGUGAUGAGGGUGCUUCUCACAUGGAAAAAUUGGAUUGGAGACCUCCGUGGUAGAUCAUACCUUUUUUAUGAGUUUUCUUGUGGGUACCCCAGCAGCCAUGACUGUCUUUAAAGCCUAUGUUCCUUUAUUAAGUUUAGUGGAUCUCUUGAAUCCUGUUCUUGUGCCGUAGGGCAGGAAAACGCCUCUAUACAAUAGCAGAGUUGUGUAUUCUGGGGGGUUUAUUUAUUUGUGGAAUUUUUAGUUUGUUUCUGUUGUUCUUUUUUAUUUUAUUUCAUGUGCAUUGGUGUGAGUUACAGACAGUUGUUUUAGCUACCAUGUGGGUACUGGGAAUUGAACCUGGGUCCUCUGGAAGACCAGCCAGUGCUCUUAACAGAGCCACAUCUCCAGCCCCUUUUCCUUUGUUUUGUUUUGUUUAUUUUUUUCUGAAAAUAAAACUAUGCAAAAUAGAGAAGAUGCCUUUUCAUGUAGUCCUGCUCUCCUUGUAAAGUAACACUCAGGAAGCUGUGAGCUUUUCCUGGGUUGUAUUGGAAGAUCAUGAGAAAAGCACUUGGCCUCUGUUUUGAACUCAGAAUGCAGCCCUUUGAGUCCCCUUCAGCCAGCCAAAAUUCAUGUCACUGUUGCAGUUUAUUGUAAUAAGAACAAAUGAUGACAUUUCGAAGUACCAAAAUUGUUCUGGGAACAAAGUGGUCCCAAUGGCCUGGGCUUUCAGCCCUAUUUUCUUUAUCCUUAGAGAAAUAGCAUCAGAGUUUGGAAUUCUUUUCCUGAGGUGGAGCAGUUUCUGGUAGUUUUGUGUAGUAAGUGUUAAAGGUAUAAGCAAAGACUCGUGCAGGCUAGCUAAGUCAAGCCAUCAGAAAGGGCAAGUGUUGGCUGUAUAUCUCAAUUACCUCUGCAACUCAAACCGACAAUAGUCACUUCCUUGCAGUAGCUCAGAAGAUGCAGCUUAAUGAAAAUAUGGGUGGAACUCUUAUGGCAAAAGGCUGCCUCCAGGGCUCCAGUGUUCUAAUGUGUUCUCUGAUAGUGAGAAAACACUUUGUCCUUGAGCCAGUAUCUGGAAAACUACGGAAAACCAGAGUCAUGAGAGCAGCAAUUAAGGUUGCAGCUCUGCAGCCCCUCUGCCCUCCUAGGAAGACUGUACCAGGGAAGUACCCUUGCCCAUCUGCUGUUGGAGCCUCUAUCUCCCUCUAUUAGGGGUCUUGAAAGGCUGGACAGAAAGCUUAACCAUAUCUUCUGGUUGUCCCACUAUCUCUUAUAACUUAAACUAGCCAGUUUCCAUUAGUCUAUAAUUUGCCAUAUGGUUUUUUACCUCUUCUAUUCUGGAUGUCCAAAUCCCUCUUUGUCUACCUGGUGUCUCCUGCAUGCAUAGAUUUUUAACCCUCAGUUCCUCUCUACCCCUGGAAGUCCCACUACUCUCUCCUGCCUAGCUAUUGGCCAUUUAGCUCUUUAUUAAACCAAUCAGAAGGCACCUUAGGCACAGAUACAUCUUUGUGGUGUACAAAAAGUUUAUCACAUAACAGCCAACACAAUCCCCCUAAUCACAAGAAUAUUAAAAUACACCCUUCUAACACCACCUCAGAUCUGGGAGGAAAGGAACUUAAACUUUCCACUUUCCCAGUCAUUUUAUCAAAACUCUCGUGUUUCAGGGGUCAGGCUGCUGAGUGGCAACCUUGAAUACACACACUCUUCCAUUUGGUUACCCAUUAGGAAAAAGCCUGCCUUCUGGGCCAGAUUACUACAGCCACCUCCUUUUCUCCCUCAGUCUCCCCUCCUCCCACUUCCUUCUUCUACUCGCACACUUCUCACAGUCCACCCAGCUCCAAAGGAGAAAAAAGUUCUUCUGGGAAUUCCUGAUACUUCUCCACAUACACAUAACACCUAUCUUUAACCAGACCUGGUCAACUGUGCUCAGGCUAACAAAGGAAGACAGUGUGAGACAUUGUUCAUGGAGCUCCCAAAACUCCGAGAGUUGGUGCUAAGUGUUUGUGACCAAGGCACCACGUACAAAAAAGGAUUACUAUGGACUCUUCUUUCCCACUCACAGGACCGAGUCUCUUUGUCAGAUGACCUCCAAAGAUGACCCAUUUCCAAAAAACAGGUCAAGGCAGUUACCCUUUCUAGCAUCUCUCAUCUGGAAGUCCAAUGCCUCUAUUCUGUCUAUCAUCUCCAGAGCCUAGUCACUCCCUCUACUAGCAUGUUCUACGUAAGGUCAAAUCUCGGCUGGCUACUCAACUGUACACAUGCAACUGUCUCCCAGUCCAGCUGUCCCUGUCUUCCAUUGGGGCUAUCGGAAGAAAGGAAAAUGAAGAACAGAACCUUGAGGAUUACUUGGGGGAACUCAAGAGGGACAAGGUUUUGAGGAGGCUCAAACAGACAUCACUUAGCAAAGGAGGAUGAAAACUGGGGCAGAUAAGUGCCUGUCUUGUUUGCUGACACAAGAGUGUUCAGUCUAACACUGGUGACUAUGGUCUAGGCCCUGUUCCAAAUGAUUAUGAUAGACAUUGACGAUUCCCCCAUGGAAGGCCUCACCCUCCCUGGGGAACAG